AACAAAUUACCAACUAAAGACAAUCUUAGGGCAAGAAAUGCAUUGUAGAUGAAGAGGAUUGCAAGUGUGUUUUUUGUAAUAGGUGUGAAGAAACAGUGAAUAAUUGUUUCUUCACACGCGAGGGAGUGGUGGAAGUAUGGAAAGCUUGGUAUUGGUGGUUGGAAUCAGUCUUACCAAACUCACUCCAAGCACAUAUGAGCCAACAUGAUUGCUUAUUACAAAACAACAAAGACAAGGAAAGGUGGAUGGUGGUGUGGGUAGCGAUUGUGUGGAACAUUUGGCUUGUAAGGAAUGAGUGCAUAUUCAAA
This 308-nucleotide long non-coding RNA is filed under the name Glycine max (soybean). Its description in RNAcentral is "long non-coding RNA (GMAX_LNC001832)". The record is from RNAcentral. Lineage: Eukaryota; Viridiplantae; Streptophyta; Magnoliopsida; Fabales; Fabaceae.